This 426-nucleotide long non-coding RNA is filed under the name Gallus gallus (chicken). RNAcentral describes it as "lncRNA (ENSGALG00010022010.1)". The record is from RNAcentral. Lineage: Eukaryota; Metazoa; Chordata; Aves; Galliformes; Phasianidae.
AAUGUAAAAGCUAUUAACAGUGUGGCUGAGAACUUGCCUGAGGUCAAGCCUCCUUCCCAUCAUCAGAUUGUUUCCUGGUUAGCAGCCUUUGUGAAGGAGUUUUUGUGUGGUGAUCCCUCUGCUAGCAUUCUGUGCUUCAAACAAGACUGUUUAACUGAAGACAGACCAAAGUACCAGCUGAUACACUGAAGAUCCUGCAGGAGAUUUCCUCUCUUGUUCAAGCUUCAAUCAUGACUUCUGCAGAAACUUUGGUGCUGUGAAUUUCACUAACCCUGCUGAGAAGCAAGGAGAAGGAAACGAGGUUCAAGACAUCCAAGUCAAGACUUGUGGAACUGGUGUCUUGUUUUGCUCAGUCCGUUUGACAGCGGAGCUGUCUGAGACCUUUCUGAUCAGGUGUUUUUGAGGCUGCAUCGACUUUACUGCUAG